GUGAGGAAUAUUGCGCAAUGGAGGCAACUCUGACGCAGCCAUGCCGCGUGCAGGAAGAAGGCGCUACGCGUUGUAAACUGCUUUUAACCGGGAAGAAACCCCAGGACGUGUCCUGGGUUGACGGUACCGGAGGAAUAAGCACCGGCUAACUUCGUGCCAGCAGCUGCGGUAAUACGAAGGGUGCACGCGUUAUCCGGAUUCAUUGGGUUUAAAGGGUGCGUAGGAGGAGCGUUAAGUCAGUGGUGAAAUCCUGCAGCUUAACUGUAGACUUGCCAUUGAUACUGGCGCUCUUGAGUGCGCUUGAAGUGGGCGGAAUGUGCCGUGUAGCGGUGAAAUGCUUAGAUAUGGCACAGAACACCAAUUGCGAAGGCAGCUCACUAAGGCGAUACUGACGCUGAGGCACGAAAGCGUGGGGAUCGAACAGGAUUAGAAACCCCAGUAGUCC
This 445-nucleotide ribosomal RNA is filed under the name uncultured bacterium. RNAcentral's name for it is "partial 16S ribosomal RNA". It matches the Rfam family "Bacterial small subunit ribosomal RNA", at positions 354 to 796 of the family's 1533-position model. The record is from RNAcentral.